RNAcentral lists this transfer RNA (77 nucleotides) under Bifidobacterium bifidum. RNAcentral's name for it is "tRNA-Leu". It matches the Rfam family "tRNA". Rfam says of the family: Transfer RNA (tRNA) molecules are approximately 80 nucleotides in length. Their secondary structure includes four short double-helical elements and three loops (D, anti-codon, and T loops). Further hydrogen bonds mediate the characteristic L-shaped molecular structure. tRNAs have two regions of fundamental functional importance: the anti-codon, which is responsible for specific mRNA codon recognition, and the 3' end, to which the tRNAs corresponding amino acid is attached (by aminoacyl-tRNA synthetases). tRNAs cope with the degeneracy of the genetic code in two manners: having more than one tRNA (with a specific anti-codon) for a particular amino acid; and 'wobble' base-pairing, i.e. permitting non-standard base-pairing at the 3rd anti-codon position. The record is from RNAcentral. Lineage: Bacteria; Bacillati; Actinomycetota; Actinomycetes; Bifidobacteriales; Bifidobacteriaceae.
GCUUUCGUAGCCCAACCGGUAGAGGCAACGGCCCAAGGAGCCGUCAAGUCCGGGUCCGAAUCCCGGCGAGAGCACGA